UUUGAUAUUGCAGAAGUAGAGUUAUGUUUCAUUAAGUAUAGAUUACAUAAACUGAAGUUAUUAUUAUUAUCUUUUUUGUGCAGCAUUCGUUGAGAAAAUGCAAUCCAGUGGAGACCUUAAUCUGAUUGGGCAGUUUGGAGUUGGGUUCUACUCUGUAUAUCUUGUAGCUGACUAUGUCGAAGUCAUUAGUAAACACAAUGAUGACAAACAGUGAGUCUUCUAGCUUCAAUGUAGUUCUUAUGGUAAUGUUUGACUGAUUGUUGAACUAUUAUUUGGUUAAUAUGUUUUACUCUUUAGGUAUGUAUGGGAAUCGAAGGCGGAUGGGGCAUUUGCAAUUUCCGAGGAUACUUGGAAUGAACCACUUGGACGUGGGACUGAGAUUAGAUUGCAUCUUAGGGAUGAAGCUCAGGAGUAUUUGGAGGAAAGCAAAUUGAAGGUUAGCAACUUGAGUUUUGCAUGUUUACAUAGCCUAUUCUUUGGGUAUGCUGAUUUUCAUUUGUGAAAUAUUUUCUAUUAUGGUACCAUCCUUUGAAAUGUUAUUUCCGUGAACUUGUAAUUUGAUGUAUUGACUUAAACUUGGCCUUUUGAAGAUAUGCUAACAAAGCAUGCUGUGUUUCUCAUCUGCAGGAGUUGGUGAAGAAAUAUUCUGAGUUCAUCAACUUCCCCAUCUAUAUCUGGGCAAGCAAAGAGGUUGAUGUUGAGGUGCCUGCAGAUGAAGAUGAGUCAAGUGAUGAGGAGGAAACCUGUAUGUAUUAGCUAGCCUGUUAAUGUUUAUUUAAAACUUUUCUUUUUCCUUAAUGCUGUAAGAGUAGGCAUGUUUUGAUUAACUGAUUAUAGUUUUUGGUUUCCUUCUCUUUUAUUUUCACAAACAGCCGAUAGCGGCUCUUCCGAGGAAGGAGAAGAUGAAGAUGCUGAGAAAAGUGAGGAUGAUGAUGCUGAAAAGAAAUCAAAGACAAAGAAGGUGAAGGAAACUACUUAUGAAUGGGAACUUCUGAAUGAUGUUAAAGCCAUAUGGUUGCGCAGUCCAAAGGAGGUGACAGAUGAAGAAUACGCGAAACUCUAUCACUCUCUAGCUAAGGUAAUUUUCCAUAUAUUUUCUAGCUCCAUACUACCGAAAGCAUUAUAGAGAAGUUUCUAUCACUUAUAGAUGCAUAUUUCUGCUUCUCUGCAGGACUUUAGUGAUGAGAAGCCCUUGGCCUGGAGCCACUUCACUGCUGAAGGUGAUGUCGAGUUCAAGGCCGUUUUGUUUGUGCCUCCUAAGGCUUCUCAGGAUCUAUAUGAGAGUUACUAUAACACCAAUAAAGCCAACUUGAAGUUGUAUGUCCGACGAGUUUUUAUCUCUGAUGAAUUUGAUGAGCUUUUGCCAAAGUAUCUUAGCUUCUUGAAGGUAAUAGAAGACAUUCCAUGUUAUUUUAGUUGACUUGAAUCUUCACUAAUGAGUUUUCUGAGUUGUUUUUUUAUUGUUUACCUGUUGAGCAGGGUCUUGUUGAUUCUGAUACUCUGCCUCUCAAUGUGUCACGAGAGAUGCUGCAAGCCCACAGCAGUUUGAAAACAAUCAAGAAAAAACUCAUCAGGAAAGCCCUUGAUAUGAUUUGUAAAAUUGCCGAGGAGGAUCCUGAUGAGUCGAGUGGAAAAGAUGAGAAAGGUAUUGUAUAUUGAUUUCGUAUAGAAUUAAAUUUAAUUUGCUAGUACUUCUCCGCUAGACUUGGCCUACCACUAGCCUUUGACAAUGAAACUAUUCUAUUCCAACUUAUUUCUGGGUGAAUAUUGAUACUGAAUAUGAUGGGGAUGCAGAAGUGGAAACAUCUGGUGAUGAUGAUGAGAAAAAGGGACAAUACACCAAGUUCUGGAAUGAAUUUGGAAAAUCCAUUAAACUCGGCAUCAUUGAGGAUGCAACCAAUAGAAAUCGCUUGGCAAAACUCCUUCGAUUUGAGAGGUAUUUAACUUUGUAUAUGGUAUUUAGGCAUGAGCAUUGUAUUGGUAAAAUCAAGAAACCGAACUGAACUGAUUAGUUUGAUUGGUUUAAAAGCGUCAAAUUUCAGUUGUGUGUAAAACCAAGCAGCAUUAUUUGGAUUAGUUUGGAUCCUGAAACUUAAAAACAAGUAUUUGGCCUUGAUUUGUUUUUCCUUUUAGUCGAGUCCAAACAGAAGCAUUCUUUGCACAUGAUAAUCACUUUUCUGCUAGUAACUAAUGAGUAAUGGUGUAUGAAUUGCAUUGCAGCACCAAGUCGGAUGGUAAAUUGACAUCACUUGAUCAGUACAUCUCAAGGAUGAAAUCCGGACAGAAAGAUAUAUUCUACAUUACAGGAACCAGCAAGGAACAAUUAGAAAAAUCUCCUUUCUUGGAGAGGCUUAAGAAGAAAAAUUAUGAGGUAACUGCUAAAGCAUUCCGAACCAACUUUUCUCAUCUGCCUUUUUACUUAAUUUAUAUCUCUUUUUCAAUCUGUGCUUGGGUUCUAAUGACCUUUGUUGUUUCCAGGUAAUUUUCUUCACUGAUCCUGUUGAUGAGUACCUGAUGCAAUACCUUAUGGAUUAUGAGGGAAAGCAGUUCCAAAAUGUAUCCAAGGAGGGCCUGAAAAUCGGGAAAGAAAAGAACAAAGAACUCAAGGAGUCAUUUAAGGAACUAACUAAAUGGUGGAAGAACGCACUUGCUAGUGAUAAUGUUGAUGAAGUGAAAAUAAGCAACCGUUUGGACAACACUCCUUGUGUGGUCGUUACAUCAAAAUACGGAUGGAGUGCUAAUAUGGAGAGAAUCAUGCAAUCUCAAACCCUAUCUGAUUCUAGCAAGCAAGCUUACAUGCGUGGCAAGAGGAUCCUAGAGAUUAACCCAAGACACCCUAUCAUCAAGGAGCUUCGUGAGAGAGUUGCCAAGGACUCUGAGGUACCUAUCUAUAUAUGUAAACAGCAGCAUGCAUGUUUGUUGAGUCGGUAUUCAGUUUUAUUUCAUUUGAUGAAAUCAUUUGGUGGAUCUUACAGGAUGAGGGUGUGAAGCAAACGGCUCUGCUUAUUUACCAGACAGCUCUAAUGGAGAGUGGUUUCAAUCUACCCAAUCCCAAGGACUUUGCUUCACGCAUCUACAGCUCAGUGAAAUCUAGCCUUAAUAUCAGUCCUGAUGCAACAAUUGAAGACGAUGAUGAUGUAGAAGAAACCGAGAUAGAGUCGGAGACAAAAGAAAGUGCAGGCAAAGAUGAGUUGUAGAUUGCCUGAAACCUCGGGGAUAUAUUGCCUGAAACCUCGGGGAUAUAUACUCUUUGAGUUUGUUUUACCCUCUGUAGACAUUCACGAUUGAACUGAAACAUGCAUUUUCAAGUCUGAAACUAGGAUAAAAAGAAAAUUUACGUAGUUCUUUCAUUUCGGGUGUUGAGAAGUCUCAUCGAUUUUGUCUGUGGAAUGUGUUUUUGUUGACAGUAUAUACUGGUUUGCAUGAUUAGCUUGUUUGGAAGGUAUAUUAUGGUGGCUUCUUUUUAAUUUUGAUGACGAUGAUCUGUUUUAGAAGUAAAAGAACAUUCGGUUCUACAUUUAAGAGCACUGUUCUAGGGAUGCCUAGUGCAUUAGGAGUUUCAUUAAUGAUCUUUGAUAUACGUUUGGAGAUCCACUUUGAUUUCGAGUACAUCAUACAAGGCAGUCUUUUCCGUCCCAAGAACUUGUAACACUUUACCUGGCUAAUGGGGGUUUUAGUGAUACUAUACUUCGAUAGUCUGUAGUUGUCUAACAUAUUGUCCUUUCUCAACCAACUUUUCACGACCUCCUUGAACACUCCGAUCAUGGUAGCGCAAGUUCUGUCUAUAUCAUGCCUAUUGGGUACCCAUGUAUCAUGCACUAAAACUCAAAUAGCAAAUGCUUGUCCUCAUUCCAGUGAUAAAGAGGAAGAAAAAACUUGAUUGUAUUGUGUUUUGUUAUCUUUUGAGAGCUUUUAUUACCUCUCUUGCAUCACUCAUCCAAAUGCAUGAAUGGUCAUGGCGGUCAAUAUUUGGAUAAUUGCAUGUUUUCUUUUGUUUUUCUGUGUACAUUUAAAAUCUGCGUUGAAAAUACGGAAUCAAGUAAUUUCUCACUUCUGAUUAAUGGAUUUUCACUGAGCCCAACCAUUCGAACUCCUUGAUGCCUUAUUCUGUAACGAGCUUCAUGCUAUCGUAUUUUUUCUUGCUCGCAACAAAACCCAAAAAUACAUUGAAAACUGAUUCAGACCGUAGUCUUUGGUUCAGUUUUAUUUAAUUUGGUUCGGUUGGUCAAAAUUCACAAAUUAAAAAAUUGUAAUUAUACAAGCUAAAGCGAAUCUUAUUUUUAAUUAAGUUUUUUACCUUGUAAGUGCGAUUGUAUUUAUUACAGGAUCAAUAAAUUCAAUUCAGACAGAUUUAAAUUAUAAAUACAUAGAUACAUACCUAUUGAUAGUUUUGAGGAUGUAAUAAUUUUUUAUUUAAGUAAAAUAUCAUAGAAACAAAUAUUUCCGAUAAUAGUUCAGGGACAUCCUAUGCUAAAGUCAAAUUAUAUUUUACUUUUUUUAUUUAAAAAAGUUUCUAUACAUUAGAUUUAAAAAUUAUCUAUUUUUACUAUUAAAAAUUAGUCUUUAUACUUCAAUAUGAGUUAUAUGUGAUAUGUCACAUGAUGUUGUAUGGAUAUUCUCCCAUCCAUCUUAGAUUUUAAUAUUAUAAUUAAAUGAAUUUUUAAUAAAAAUAGGGGUAGCUAAAGGGUUGGUAGGGGCCCCGAUCCCUUAAAAUAAAAAAAAUUCAUUUAAAUCUUUUAAAAUUUUAAAUUAAUAAAGAUAAAGAUUGCACUGUGACUCUCUUAUAAAUAAAAAUUCGAUUUAAUUCUUUAAAAAUAAAAAAGAUAUACUAUUAAAAUUAUAAAAUUAUAUUUUUACUAUAAUAAAAAUUAUAAUUUAAUUUUAAUUUCUAAAAAAAUUUUCACUUCACCCUAAAUAUAAGAAAUCAAUUUACUUUUUAACUUAUUAUAUAAAAACUAUUUUAAAGAUACAUUUAUUUAAUGUAUAGAAAUUGAUUUACAGAAGAGAUAGAUCCACAUGGAAAGGAGAAGGAAAACACACAGAACUGUAAGGCAAGGAUAGUAAUAAAGAACAAUCUAGAAAUCGUGAUUCAUACACCUCCAAGCAUAUUACGCGACGUUUACAGCAAAACCGAGUCGUUCGAUCGUUUGAUGAUCAUCAGGUCAAGUUGACUAAAGAGUUGAAGUCGUCCGAUAUGGGGCCUGCCUGCCCAUAACACACGGCCACGUCAAAGAAACAAAUCCAAACCAAUAAAAUCAUGCCACGUCUCAACAAACCAAAUCAUUAGCCGUUAGAUCCUCCACGCUGGCGCCAAAAACCAAUUAACAUAAUCUUUUCCAUCGCAAAAAACAUUGCUAAACUCCCCCCCACCUAUUUAAGAACUCCCAAGCCUGCACUGAAGGCAAAGCUACUAUAUUUCAAAAAAAAAAAAAAACAAAAAAAAACAAACAAAGGUAGCCUAAGCAAACUAUGAGGAAGUGGGCGAUCCCUUCCGCUUUGGUUCUUCUUUGCCUUCUCAGUCUCCUAUCAGAUCAUGGUAAGCUUACGCCACUUUUCCUUUUUAUUGUUUUUUUUUAUUUCUUGAUUGUGAAAUGCUGAAUCCAGAUCUACACUUGUUUCAGGGAGAAAAGUACAAGCAAAUGCCGAGGAAGGAGCUGUAGAUCCUCCUAAAGUCGAGGAAAAGAUCGGCGCUGUGCCUAAUGGCUUACAAACUGAUUCUGAUGUAGUUAAAAGGUUAGCAUAAUUUUUGUUUUGGAAUAUACUUUUCAUUACUUUGUUCUUUUUUGUUUACUUGAAUUUUGAAUCCGAAUGUUCUUACUAGGGAAUCGGAAUCCAUCUCUUCGAGAUCGCUUCGCAAUAAUGCGGAGAAGUUUGAGUUCCAAGCUGAAGUGUCUCGGCUUAUGGAUAUCAUUAUCAAUUCUCUUUAUAGCAACAAGGAUAUUUUCCUCAGGGAGUUGAUCUCCAAUGCUUCUGAUGUAAGUUUUAUGUCUUUCCUUUUUUGAAUUGUUUUUAGUAAUUUUUUGGAACUCGAUGUUGAAUCAUUGUUUUUAUUCUAAUUUAAGGCACUGGACAAGAUUAGGUUCCUUUCACUCACAGACAAAGAAGUUUUGGGUGAAGGCGACACUUCCAAGCUGGAUAUCCAGGUCAGUUCUUCAAACUAAAACUUUAUCUUAUUGAAAUUUAAUUACAGAGAACUCUGGUUACCACUUAAUUAGAAUGAGCCUGCUCUAUAAUGUCGUUGCUGAGCCUUAAAAAUGCAAUGAAAUUGCAGAUUAAGUUGGACAAAGAGAAGAAGAUUCUUUCCCUUCGUGACAGAGGUAUAGGAAUGACAAAAGAAGAUUUAAUCAAGAACUUGGGAACAAUUGCGAAAUCUGGAACUUCUGGUAACUAAAUCUUUAUAUUUGAUAUUGCAGAAGUAGAGUUAUGUUUCAUUAAGUAUAGAUUACAUAAACUGAAGUUAUUAUUAUUAUCUUUUUUGUGCAGCAUUCGUUGAGAAAAUGCAAUCCAGUGGAGACCUUAAUCUGAUUGGGCAGUUUGGAGUUGGGUUCUACUCUGUAUAUCUUGUAGCUGACUAUGUCGAAGUCAUUAGUAAACACAAUGAUGACAAACAGUGAGUCUUCUAGCUUCAAUGUAGUUCUUAUGGUAAUGUUUGACUGAUUGUUGAACUAUUAUUUGGUUAAUAUGUUUUACUCUUUAGGUAU
RNAcentral lists this long non-coding RNA (6701 nucleotides) under Gossypium barbadense (sea-island cotton). Its description in RNAcentral is "long non-coding RNA (GBAR_LNC004842)". Lineage: Eukaryota; Viridiplantae; Streptophyta; Magnoliopsida; Malvales; Malvaceae. The record is from RNAcentral.